GAAAUGCGAUAAGUAAUGUGAAUUGCCGAAUUCAGUGAAUCAUCGAAUCUUUGAACGCACAUUGCGCCCGCCAGUAUUCUGGCGGGCAUGCCUGUUCGAGCGUCAUUUCAACCAUCAAGCCCCCGGCUUGUGUUGGGGACCUGCGGCUGCCCGCAGGCCCUGAAAAACAGUGGCGGGCUCGCUGUCACACCGAGCGUAGUAGCAUACAUUCUCGCUCAGGGCGUGCUGCGGGUUCCGGCCGUUAAACGACCUUCAUAACCCAAGGUUGACCUCGGAUCAGGUAGGAAGACCCGCUGAACUUAAGC
RNAcentral lists this unclassified non-coding RNA (305 nucleotides) under plant metagenome. RNAcentral's name for it is "partial contains 5.8S ribosomal RNA, internal transcribed spacer 2, and large subunit ribosomal RNA". The stretch from base 1 to 105 matches the Rfam family "5.8S ribosomal RNA", at positions 50 to 154 of the family's 154-position model. The record is from RNAcentral.